AGAUUGAACGCUGGCGGCAUGCCUUACACAUGCAAGUCGAACGGUAGAGUAGCAAUACUCGAGAGUGGCGAACGGGUGAGUAAUAUAUCGGAACGUGCCCAGUCGUGGGGGAUAACGUAGAGAAAUUUACGCUAAUACCGCAUACGAUCUACGGAUGAAAGCGGGGGAUCGCAAGACCUCGCGCGAUUGGAGCGGCUGAUAUCAGAUUAGGUUGUUGGUGAGGUAAAAGCUCACCAAGCCGACGAUCUGUAGCUGGUUUGAGAGAACGACCAGCCACACUGGGACUGAGACACGGCCCAGACUCCUACGGGAGGCAGCAGUGGGGAAUUUUGGACAAUGGGCGAAAGCCUGAUCCAGCAAUGCCGCGUGCAGGAAGAAGGCCUUGGUUGUAACUGCUUUUGUACGAACGAAAAGUACUUUUCUAAUAGAAGAAGGCUUAUGACGUAACCGUAAGAAUAAGCACCGACUAACUACGUGACCAGCAGCCGCGGUAAU
Molecule: ribosomal RNA, 495 nt
Filed under: uncultured soil bacterium
Lineage: Bacteria
Description: bacterial SSU rRNA
Rfam family: Bacterial small subunit ribosomal RNA
Source: RNAcentral